RNAcentral lists this unclassified non-coding RNA (329 nucleotides) under soil metagenome. RNAcentral's name for it is "partial contains 5.8S ribosomal RNA, internal transcribed spacer 2, and large subunit ribosomal RNA". The stretch from base 1 to 120 matches the Rfam family "5.8S ribosomal RNA", at positions 35 to 154 of the family's 154-position model. The record is from RNAcentral.
GAUGAAGAACGUAGCGAAAUGCGAUAAGUAAUGUGAAUUGCAGAAUUCAGUGAAUCAUCGAAUCUUUGAACGCACAUUGCGCCCUCUGGUAUUCCGGGGGGCAUGCCUGUUCGAGCGUCAUUAUAACCACUCAAGCUCUCGCUUGGUAUUGGGGUUCGCGGUUUCGCGGCCCCUAAAAUCAGUGGCGGUGCCUGUCGGCUCUACGCGUAGUAAUAUUUCUCGCGAUUGAGUUCGAUAGGUCUACUUGCCAGUAACCCCCAAUUUUUACAGGUUGACCUCGGAUCAGGUAGGGAUACCCGCUGAACUUAAGCAUAUCAAUAAGCGGAGGA